GGAGAGAUGCGAGAGCGGUCGAAUCGGGCGGUCUCGAAAACCGUUGUACCUCCGGGUACCGGGGGUUCGAAUCCCCCUCUCUCCG
Molecule: transfer RNA, 85 nt
Filed under: Candidatus Treponema faecavium
Lineage: Bacteria; Pseudomonadati; Spirochaetota; Spirochaetia; Treponematales; Treponemataceae
Description: tRNA-Ser
Rfam family: tRNA
About the family: Transfer RNA (tRNA) molecules are approximately 80 nucleotides in length. Their secondary structure includes four short double-helical elements and three loops (D, anti-codon, and T loops).
Source: RNAcentral